RNAcentral lists this ribosomal RNA (362 nucleotides) under uncultured prokaryote. RNAcentral's name for it is "partial 16S ribosomal RNA". The record is from RNAcentral.
CCCUAUGGGGUGCAGCAGGUUUCUAUUGCGGAGGCGAUGGAGGUCUGGCGAAAUAAGGCGGCGGUUUUUAUUGAUGUGCGUACGCCGGAAGAGUAUAAAGAGGGUCAUGUGCCGGGGGCGAUUCUGGUGCCGCUGGCCGAAUUGGAAAACAGAGUGGCGGAAAUUCCGAAAGAGCAGAAGGUUAUGUUGAUCUGUCGCAGCGGCAACCGCAGCGGCAAGGCGAAUUUAAUCCUCCAGAAAUACGGCUAUACGAAUACUUAUAGUGUUAAUGGCGGCAUGCUGGAGUGGCGGGAAGAGGUUGAAAAGUAGGGCGGUAGGCGACAGAGUAUCAUAAAUUUCGAUAAAGGAAUUGGCGGGGGGGC